This 501-nucleotide ribosomal RNA is filed under the name uncultured Glomeromycotina. RNAcentral's name for it is "partial small subunit ribosomal RNA". It matches the Rfam family "Eukaryotic small subunit ribosomal RNA", at positions 591 to 1092 of the family's 1831-position model. The record is from RNAcentral. Lineage: Eukaryota; Fungi; Glomeromycota.
CCAAUAGCGUAUAUUAAAGUUGUUGCAGUUAAAAAGCUCGUAGUUGAAUUUCGGGGUUUAUCCGUUGGUCGGGCUUUUGGGUCUGUACUGGCGUGAUGGAUUCCUACCUUCUGAAUAACCAGCAUGUCAUUAAUUUGGUGCGUUGGGGAAGCAGGACUAUUACCUUGAAAAAAUUAGAGUGCUUAAAGCAGGUUAUUGCCUGAAUACAUUAGCAUGGAAUAAGGAAAUAGGACGCAUGGUUCUAUUUUGUUGGUUUCUAGGAUCACCGUAAUGAUUAAUAGGGAUAGUUGGGGGCAUUAGUAUUCAAUUGUCAGAGGUGAAAUUCUUGGAUUUAUUGAAGACUAACUUCUGCGAAAGCAUUUGCCAAGGAUGUUUUCAUUAAUCAAGAACGAAAGUUAGGGGAUCGAAGACGAUCAGAUACCGUCGUAGUCUUAACCAUAAACUAUGCCGACUAGGGAUCGGACGAUGUUAAUUUUUUAAUGACUCGUUCGGCGCCUUACG